AAUAUUAGGUUGGUGCACAAGUAAUUGUGGUUUUUGCAAUUUAAAGUAAUGGCAAAAACCACAAUUACUUGUGCACCAACCUAAU
MicroRNA precursor from Chlorocebus sabaeus (green monkey), 85 nucleotides. Lineage: Eukaryota; Metazoa; Chordata; Mammalia; Primates; Cercopithecidae. The record is from Ensembl.